CUUCGGCCAAGUUGAAGGGAUGACUUAGUGGCGGACGGGUGAGUAACGCGUGAGGAACCUGCCUUUCAGUGGGGGACAACAGUUGGAAACGACUGCUAAUACCGCAUAAUGUUUCUGGACCGCAUGAUUUGGAAACCAAAGCUUUAUGUGCUGAAAGAUGGCCUCGCGUCUGAUUAGAUAGUUGGUGAGGUAACGGCCCACCAAGUCUACGAUCAGUAGCCGGACUGAGAGGUUGAACGGCCACAUUGGGACUGAGAUACGGCCCAGACUCC
Molecule: ribosomal RNA, 272 nt
Filed under: uncultured Oscillospiraceae bacterium
Lineage: Bacteria; Bacillati; Bacillota; Clostridia; Eubacteriales; Oscillospiraceae
Description: partial 16S ribosomal RNA
Rfam family: Bacterial small subunit ribosomal RNA
Source: RNAcentral